CGAAAUCGGUAGACGCUACGGACUUAUCCGUUGG
Molecule: transfer RNA, 34 nt
Filed under: Marchantia paleacea
Lineage: Eukaryota; Viridiplantae; Streptophyta; Marchantiopsida; Marchantiales; Marchantiaceae
Also listed under: 3 other names
Description: partial tRNA-Leu
Source: RNAcentral